Molecule: ribosomal RNA, 972 nt
Filed under: Frondihabitans sp. J5H28
Lineage: Bacteria; Bacillati; Actinomycetota; Actinomycetes; Micrococcales; Microbacteriaceae
Description: bacterial SSU rRNA
Rfam family: Bacterial small subunit ribosomal RNA
Source: RNAcentral
CAGAAAAAGCACCGGCUAACUACGUGCCAGCAGCCGCGGUAAUACGUAGGGUGCAAGCGUUGUCCGGAAUUAUUGGGCGUAAAGAGCUCGUAGGCGGUUUGUCGCGUCUGCUGUGAAAUCUGGGGGCUCAACCCCCAGCUGCAGUGGGUACGGGCAGACUAGAGUGCGGUAGGGGAGAUUGGAAUUCCUGGUGUAGCGGUGGAAUGCGCAGAUAUCAGGAGGAACACCGAUGGCGAAGGCAGAUCUCUGGGCCGUUACUGACGCUGAGGAGCGAAAGCAUGGGGAGCGAACAGGAUUAGAUACCCUGGUAGUCCAUGCCGUAAACGUUGGGAACUAGAUGUAGGGGCCAUUCCACGGUUUCUGUGUCGCAGCUAACGCAUUAAGUUCCCCGCCUGGGGAGUACGGCCGCAAGGCUAAAACUCAAAGGAAUUGACGGGGGCCCGCACAAGCGGCGGAGCAUGCGGAUUAAUUCGAUGCAACGCGAAGAACCUUACCAAGGCUUGACAUAUACCGGAAACGUCCAGAGAUGGUCGCCCCGCAAGGUCGGUAUACAGGUGGUGCAUGGUUGUCGUCAGCUCGUGUCGUGAGAUGUUGGGUUAAGUCCCGCAACGAGCGCAACCCUCGUUCUAUGUUGCCAGCACGUUAUGGUGGGAACUCAUAGGAGACUGCCGGGGUCAACUCGGAGGAAGGUGGGGAUGACGUCAAAUCAUCAUGCCCCUUAUGUCUUGGGCUUCACGCAUGCUACAAUGGCCGAUACAAAGGGCUGCAAUACCGUAAGGUGGAGCGAAUCCCAAAAAGUCGGUCUCAGUUCGGAUUGAGGUCUGCAACUCGACCUCAUGAAGUCGGAGUCGCUAGUAAUCGCAGAUCAGCAACGCUGCGGUGAAUACGUUCCCGGGCCUUGUACACACCGCCCGUCAAGUCAUGAAAGUCGGUAACACCCGAAGCCGGUGGCCCAACCCCUUGUGGGAGGGA